Molecule: ribosomal RNA, 253 nt
Filed under: uncultured bacterium
Lineage: Bacteria
Description: partial 16S ribosomal RNA
Rfam family: Bacterial small subunit ribosomal RNA
Source: RNAcentral
UACGAAGGGGGCUAGCGUUGCUCGGAAUCACUGGGCGUAAAGCGCACGUAGGCGGACUCUUAAGUCAGGGGUGAAAUCCUGGAGCUCAACUCCAGAACUGCCUUUGAUACUGGCGAGCUUGAGUCCGGGAGAGGUGAGUGGAACUGCGAGUGUAGAGGUGAAAUUCGUAGAUAUUCGCAAGAACACCAGUGGCGAAGGCGGCUCACUGGCCCGAUACUGACGCUGAGGUGCGAAAGCGUGGGGAGCAAACAGG